AUUGAACGCUGGCGGCAUGCCUUACACAUGCAAGUCGAACGGCAGCACGGGGCAACCUGGUGGCGAGUGGCGAACGGGUGAGUAAUGCAUCGGAACGUGCCAUUGAGUGGGGGAUAACGUAGCGAAAGUUGCGCUAAUACCGCAUAUUCUGUGAGCAGGAAAGCAGGGGACCGCAAGGCCUUGCGCUCUUUGAGCGGCCGAUGUCAGAUUAGCUAGUUGGUGAGGUAACGGCUUACCAAGGCGACGAUCUGUAGCGGGUCUGAGAGGAUGAUCCGCCACACUGGAACUGAGACACGGUCCAGACUCCUACGGGAGGCAGCAGUGGGGAAUUUUGGACAAUGGGCGCAAGCCUGAUCCAGCCAUGCCGCGUGAGUGAAGAAGGCCUCGG
Molecule: ribosomal RNA, 388 nt
Filed under: uncultured bacterium
Lineage: Bacteria
Description: bacterial SSU rRNA
Rfam family: Bacterial small subunit ribosomal RNA
Source: RNAcentral